CCUACGGGUGGCAGCAGUGAGGAAUAUUGGUCAAUGGACGAGAGUCUGAACCAGCCAAGUAGCGUGAAGGAUGACUGCCCUAUGGGUUGUAAACUUCUUUUAUAUGGGAAUAAAAUGUUCCACGUGUGGGAUUUUGUAUGUACCAUAUGAAUAAGGAUCGGCUAACUCCGUGCCAGCAGCCGCGGUAAUACGGAGGAUCCGAGCGUUAUCCGGAUUUAUUGGGUUUAAAGGGAGCGUAGGUGGAUUGUUAAGUCAGUUGUGAAAGUUUGCGGCUCAACCGUAAAAUUGCAGUUGAGACUGGCAGUCUUGAGUACAGUAGAGGUGGGCGGAAUUCGUGGUGUAGCGGUGAAAUGCUUAGCUAUCACGAAGAACUCCGAUUGCGAAGGCAGUUCACUGGACUGCAACUGACACUGAGGCUCGACAGUGUGGGUAUCAAACAGGAUUAGAUACCCCGGUAGUC
This 460-nucleotide ribosomal RNA is filed under the name uncultured bacterium. Its description in RNAcentral is "partial 16S ribosomal RNA". It matches the Rfam family "Bacterial small subunit ribosomal RNA", at positions 338 to 795 of the family's 1533-position model. The record is from RNAcentral.